GAGACAAGCAAGUUACAGCACAAGUCGAAAACCCUAACCUCUCUUCCAUCUCUCUCUCUCCCUGCCCACAGUCCCACUUCACUCUCCACGGUGCCGCCUCUCUUGUUUUCUCAGCAAAUCGCCAACAUCGGCAGAUGCCGGUCGCUGAUUGUCCACGGUCAAGGGUCGCCGGUAAGUCCUCUCUUAAUUUCAUGCAUUUUUCGUUAAUUUUUACUUUCCCAUGCUUAUUAUUCUCAAUAUCUUACAGUCUCUUUUGAUUUGGGGUUAUUAGGAAUUAACCCAGUGUUUUUAAUUAAUAUAUUCUGUGUAAUAAAAUGAAAUCUGGUAAGUAUUAUCGUUAAUUACAAGAAUUCUGUUUUCGUAUUUGAAUUGAUAGCAUUUGGAGGUAUCACUUAGCAAUUGAUAAAGAAUGGUUAUUUUUAUUGAUAUUUUUUUCUCAUGACAUUCAUGCUUGCUUUAGUAAUUUUAAAUUUUGGAUAUUAUAUAAAAAUUGCUAUGUAUUAUGUCGGCACUGGAGAUGGAGUUAGAUUUCUUUUCGUUUUAAUUUACUUGUAAGGAAUACAGAUACAGAUGGACAUACAGAGUUAGUUGGCUAAAUGAGCAGGCGUAGAUGAUGGGAUUUGCGAACCAUUAGUUGCAGGUAUUUUUAAUUUUGAAGGAAGCUUAAUACAUGGAGUUAGUGCAUUUCCAUGUUUAGCACUUUUAUAAGUUUCAAAUAAAAUUCAGUUUUCUUAAGAAGUUUCAAUUUUAUGAUGCUGGGUGGUAACGUUAUUUCCAAGAUACUAAUAGUGUUAUCUACAACAGGUAAUGAAUAGCUGGAUUUGAGCCGAUGACUUCAUUUUAUCAAGCCAUUGAAGGAUCCAGUUGCCAAGGUUUUGCCCAACUUCAAUAUCCCUUUCUUGUAUCUUGCAAUGAACUGUGAGUGCAACAUCAAAUGCAGCUCCCUAGCUUUUCUUAUUUCAAUUGACACCUACAAGUGCUAAUUUUAAGGGAAUUUGAAGUGAUCUGGUGGCACUCAUUCCUGUGUUGCUUGCCUAAAAUGUCAUUGAAAAGCUGAAGGGGAAAGGUGGAACAUGGCCUCAAUGACACCCAUUAAUAAGUUUACAUGCUGAAGAUUGAUAGGCCCCAAAGGCAGGUGAAUAUUUCCAUUUAGUUAGUCAAAGUAUUAUAGGAUUUUGUGGAAUAAAGUGAAUAUGUGUCUAAUUAUAAAUUGAAAGUGAGGUGUUCAUUUCAUUUUAGGCAGGAAUUAUUGUGUCAAAUUGGAUACUUGACAUUUUGUUAGAUAUUUGAAGCAUUACGCUUCCCCUAGUUCCUGAUCUUUCAUUUUAGACUUUUCCUCAACCUGCCCCAGCUUUUAGAGCUGAUUUAUUUUUCAUAGCCAAGAAAUUUAAGGUUGUGGAAUAUUUUAAACACGGUCAAUUGUUCGAAACUGGAAAAGAAUUGGAGAUUAUAGAAAGCGUAGUUAAAAGCCCAUACCUGCUCUAGUACUGUACUCCUACAGCUAAACUUUGAACCCCUCAAAGUGAUGUUACAAUUUGUUGGAGGUUGAUGACAGAUUGCAGGUAGCAUAUGAUGUGUAACUUCAUGCAUUUUCUCUUUCUUUUUCUUCCUUUUGUUGUAUGUGGGUUCAUAUUUCCUUUUGCAGUCUUUAAGUAAUGAAAAACUAAGCAAUUAGUUAUUAGUGGUUUUAGUUAUAGUUAUGGAUAAAUGGCCUGGUCAUGUGUUUGCUACUUUGUCCAUCGUUUUUAUGCUACGAGUUACAUAUUAGACUUUUAAUAUUGUUGAAAUGUUUUACUAUUGCUUUUUUUAGAUGGUUUAUCAUUUACGAGUAUAAUUUUUGUUCUCUACAUUUUUCAAAUUUUUUCUGAGAGUUUUUUUUGCAAUGUUACUUAUGAAUCUCUCAUAUUUAGCACUUCAUGUCUGAUUCUUACUUUCUCCCCAUCUUCAUUGUUGCUGUGGCUUAGACUUAGUUCAUACACAUCCUACCAAAUUUUAGCUGCAUAGAGAACAGGAAAACGUUGACAUGGCGUCACCCAACAGAAUGCCUGUAGAUUAGGAGCUUAUGGCUUUGGUUAGAACAUCUGGGAUUCAGCAAUUUAAUGAGCAAGAUAUAUGAUCUAUCUCAGUAUUCAAUGAAUGAACUUGCUGAUGAGGCUGUUACAUGUCUCAAGUGUGUGAAUGAUCCACAAUUCCUAUUCUCAGCACAAGGCAUUGAAAUUUCAAAGAGUUGUAGUUGUGGGAUGUGGAAAUUCAGGCAUGGAAGUGUCCCCUGAUCUUUGCAAUUAUGAUGCAAAACCUUCAAUGGUUGUUCGGAGCUUGAUGAGUAAUACACAACACAUAACAGUGACUUUCAUUCAUCCAUUUUCUUUCAAGAAAAUUGAGUCCCAGUAUGUAGAUUCUAAUGUGGUUUAUGGGUUUUCUUUUUAGGUUCAUGUAUUGCUAAUGAUUCUUACUUAUUUUUCUUUGCUUUUCUUCUCGAUUAUUAAUUGGUACAAAUGUCUAAAAUGUGGCAUCUAUCUUUAUCUCCUUUUUUAUAGGACAGGACCAAUAUUUAAGGCACAACUCAUGUCGAAGAUUACUGAGAAGAAAAUUAAGGAGACUGAUAGGAUGGUUUCACUUACUACUUAGUGGGUUUUUUUUUUUGGAAAAAUGUAUAGGAUUUUUAGGUGUGUGAGAAUUUUGGAUCUGGAUUUUGUAUGAAUAUUGUUACAUUUUAAAGUUCAAUUAAUAAUGAUUAUUGAAGUUAUUUGAUAUAGUUAUUUU
Molecule: long non-coding RNA, 2763 nt
Filed under: Olea europaea subsp. europaea
Lineage: Eukaryota; Viridiplantae; Streptophyta; Magnoliopsida; Lamiales; Oleaceae
Source: RNAcentral